UUUGUAAAUGGCCGCAGUAUUUUGACUGUGCUAAGGUAGCAUAAUCAUUAGUCUCUUGAUUAGAGGCUGGUAUGAAUGGCGUGACGAGAAAGUAGCUGUCUCAUAAUAAAUAAUUGAACUUCAUUUCUUGGUGAAAAAGCUAAGAUUGUUUUGAAGGACGAUCAGACCCUUUGGAGCUUUAUAAUUUCUUUUAUGUAUAUUUAUAUUAAAAAAUAAUUUAACAGAAAUUAUUUCGUUGGGGCGACGAAGAGUUUAAAAGUAACACUCUUUUUAUUAACCAUAAAUAAAUGUAUAAUUGAUCCUUAAAGUAAGAUUAAAAGAUUAAGUUACCCUAGGGAUAACAGCGUAAUCUUUUUAGAGAGUUCAUAUCGAUAAAAAGGUUUGCGACCUCGAUGUUGGAUUAAGAAAUUAGCAAGGUGCAGAAGUUUUGCUGGAAAGUCUGUUCGACUUUUAAUUUCUUACA
Molecule: ribosomal RNA, 463 nt
Filed under: Simocephalus sp. EIZ-2012
Lineage: Eukaryota; Metazoa; Arthropoda; Branchiopoda; Diplostraca; Daphniidae
Description: partial 16S ribosomal RNA
Rfam family: Bacterial large subunit ribosomal RNA
Source: RNAcentral